This is a non-coding RNA of Electrophorus electricus (electric eel), 430 nucleotides long. NCBI's taxonomy places the organism in Eukaryota, Metazoa, Chordata, Actinopteri, Gymnotiformes, Gymnotidae. The record is from RefSeq and is a predicted model, not a curated record.
AAAGCUUCCCCCAGUACAGAAAAAGAUGUCGGGCUUUUUAUGAAAUCAGACAGAACUGAAAAAAAGAAGAAGAAACAUGCUAACAAACAGUAGCGGCUUAUCUUCUCAACACAGCUAAUUUGAAGCUCUCAAUUAGAUGAGCUGUACUCUCCUUUUCACUCUUUUUUUUUGUUGAGUUUCUUCGGGCAAUUCAUUAAAUGGAGGCAAAAAAGAGCCAGAGGAUUGCAGAUAUCACUUCUCUGAGUUCCAAAAAUGAACGUGGUAAUGCUGAUGACCACAGGUCCUGCUGUUAAGGCCAUGUGUGGAAUGGGAGUGGGAGUCCCUGCAGUACCAUCCAUCACUGCUGGGCACCGGUGUGAGGCACGGUGGUCACGGGCGGCACCAGGCCUUCGCUCCUCUCUGGCUAUGGGCCUAAUGCUCCCCAUGAAUA